GGCUCAGGACGAACGCUGGCGGCGCGUCUUAAGCAUGCAAGUCGAACGGCAAGAGGUAGCAAUACCUCCUAGAGUGGCGGACUGGUGAGUAACACGUGGGUGACAUACCCUUCAGAUGGGGAUAGCUAUUAGAAAUAGUAGAUAAUACCGAAUACGAGCACAAGGGUUAGAGAUCUGUGAGGAAAGGAGCUAAGGCUCCGCUGAAGGAAUGGCCUGCGGCCCAUUAGCUAGUUGGUGAGGUAAGAGCCCACCAAGGCGAUGAUGGGUAUCCGGCCUUAGAGGGUGAACGGACACAUUGGGACUGAGAUACGGCCCAGACUCCUACGGGAGGCAGCAGCUAAGAAUAUUCCGCAAUGGACGAAAGUCUGACGGAGCGACGCCGCGUGGAUGAAGAAGGCCGGAAGGUUGUAAAAUCCUUUUGAAACUGAAGAAUAAGCGUUGUAGGGAAUGACAGCGUGGUGACAGUAGGUUUUGAAUAAGCAACGGCUAAUUACGUGCCAGCAGCCGC
Molecule: ribosomal RNA, 508 nt
Filed under: uncultured bacterium
Lineage: Bacteria
Description: bacterial SSU rRNA
Rfam family: Bacterial small subunit ribosomal RNA
Source: RNAcentral